This is a long non-coding RNA of Astyanax mexicanus (Mexican tetra), 2106 nucleotides long. RefSeq lists it as uncharacterized. The record is from RefSeq and is a predicted model, not a curated record. Lineage: Eukaryota; Metazoa; Chordata; Actinopteri; Characiformes; Acestrorhamphidae. The transcript has 3 exons.
AUUCAGCUUGACAAUUUUCUAGCUGUCCUCUCCUUAUCCUUUGAGAUUCAACAAACUGUUUUUACUGUUUAGCAUACAACUGCUGAACGCUUAAAAGCAAGACUCAUGCUUUUUUCAUAAUAUGAUAACUAAUGAAACUACAAUGUUUCUUGAUAGCAGAUAAUUGCUUUAUCUGUUAAUUAUGAGUAAACUAAUAAACUAAAUAGAUGUUAUAUUUCGGCAGAGGUUGAAUCUCUUGUCUGUUGCCAACAUGCCUGGGCCUAAAUCCAAAACAAAGGAAGCACAUGCAGCCCUAGCCUGUGUAGAGGACAAGACUGAAGAUGUAUCACAAGAACUGCAGGUGCAUCUCAACCUCUUUGUCAAGAUUGACCCAGGCAGGGAGACGAGGAGACGACGUAAGUGCAGAUAAGGCUGAAGAUCCAGGGGUUCAUGGACAGAGGGAAUUGUGGUAAACUGACAUGCUGGUGCUGCUGUUCUCCCACUGCACACGGUCACUCAGGUUUGUGGACGGUUGAGUGGGUGGAUGCCAGUGUUUCAGGGCGCCUCCAUGUCUAUGUUACAUUCUGGCUCUCUCCCUUUAGUUAGCCUGUUUUAUUUAGAUCUGCCGGAGUCAUACACUGAAAAUGUUUUAUAUUCUCCGUUUUUACAUAAAUCCAGUCAAAUCUAAUUCCAUCUCUCUGCCUUCCUCCAAGUUACUGACUGCCCACCUGUCUGACCUGAUACUGAUGGAUGUUGGACCCUCAGGCUCUAAUGUCCCCUGUCUGGCCAGACUGGACGUUUCUGAAGUCAGCACUUCUCCAUCACCCACCACAAAUCAGCUGCUCAUCGUCCCUCUCACUCUAUAAGCCAUUAGUGGCACUGUUAUACUCCUGAAUAUAUAAAACCUAUGUGGAUGUAUAAAAGACUUUUUAAAUUUUAAUUUAAAAGCCGUUUGACCAGUGGUAGGAUGGUCCCCCCUUAAAUAUGUGUCUUGGUUUCUUCCUCCUCCUGCAGCUCUGAGGGAGUUUUUCCUUGCCUCCGCGCUCACUGGGGGUUCUGUAUUUUCUAUGUUUAAUCUUUUGCCUGACGCUUUGUCCUGUGAUCACAUUUCUGUAAAGCUGCUUCGUGCCAACACCAGUUGUAAAAAGCACUAUAGAAAUAAAUUUGAUUUGAUUUGAUUAUACCAAAGAACCAAUAUAACUGGGAUUAUAAUGACCAUAGAAACAAUGAAAAUCUACCAUGACCAAGUGAAGAAUUCUUUCCUAUAACUGUAUUUCUGUAUUACAACCUUUCCUUACCUAGCCUCACACUGUCUAAUCUAAUCUACAUUUGGCACCCUAUAUAAUAUUGGUAUAUUUCUAUACCUUAUCUGACUCAAAAGUCUCAACCCUAAUCUGCUGUGGUGGAGCACCACCUUUGAACACAUGCAAGAUGAAGAAUCGUUGCGACUUACACCCAUAUUGGUAUACAGCACAUUUAUGGCAGGGUUUCACGGUUUGGCACAGUUACAGGACAUCGCGCACCAUAAGGCAAACUAGCACUGGAAGGACCAUGAAUUACUUGCCUGAUCAGUCAGACUCAAUGUAACAUUAUUCUUUAUUUUCAUAACCAGGCGGAAACAACAAAAUCUGUAGGGUAAUUUACCACAGCAUUUCUUAGAUAAAACUCGGAUGUGAGAAAUCCCAGAACAUGAAAAGAUAACCACUAAAAGUCAAAGAUUAGGAUUUAAAAUAUAUUACAAUUUACUGGAAAAAUAGUUUCAGCAUUAAGGAUAUAUAAAAGGAACAUAAAUUAAUAGAUACAUCAGAAAAGAGUAAAAGUACAUCAACGAGUCAACACAUAGUAUAAUUAUAUCUCGAUAGAUUAAUACAUUCACAACCCAGAGAAAGUAAGAGAGAAAGAGAAAGAAAAAGAAAGCGUCUCCUUACAGACUUCAUCCAAGCAGAUAUACAUUUAUGGGUGAUUGACAUAUUUGGCUGAACAAAUGAUAAAAUUGAUAUAUAUAUAUCAAAUGUAAGUCAGUAAAUUACUGGGUUAUAUUCUACCAACUUUUAUAUUUUCAGAUAUAUAUAUAGUUUUGUAGAUUUUUUUCUUGAAAUUGACAUUUAUUCACUAGUUUACGGUCUU